RNAcentral lists this ribosomal RNA (953 nucleotides) under Escherichia coli. RNAcentral's name for it is "partial 23S ribosomal RNA". It matches the Rfam family "Bacterial large subunit ribosomal RNA", at positions 344 to 1299 of the family's 2925-position model. Lineage: Bacteria; Pseudomonadati; Pseudomonadota; Gammaproteobacteria; Enterobacterales; Enterobacteriaceae. The record is from RNAcentral.
GGAAAGGCGCGCGAUACAGGGUGACAGCCCCGUACACAAAAAUGCACAUGCUGUGAGCUCGAUGAGUAGGGCGGGACACGUGGUAUCCUGUCUGAAUAUGGGGGGACCAUCCUCCAAGGCUAAAUACUCCUGACUGACCGAUAGUGAACCAGUACCGUGAGGGAAAGGCGAAAAGAACCCCGGCGAGGGGAGUGAAAAAGAACCUGAAACCGUGUACGUACAAGCAGUGGGAGCACGCUUAGGCGUGUGACUGCGUACCUUUUGUAUAAUGGGUCAGCGACUUAUAUUCUGUAGCAAGGUUAACCGAAUAGGGGAGCCGAAGGGAAACCGAGUCUUAACUGGGCGUUAAGUUGCAGGGUAUAGACCCGAAACCCGGUGAUCUAGCCAUGGGCAGGUUGAAGGUUGGGUAACACUAACUGGAGGACCGAACCGACUAAUGUUGAAAAAUUAGCGGAUGACUUGUGGCUGGGGGUGAAAGGCCAAUCAAACCGGGAGAUAGCUGGUUCUCCCCGAAAGCUAUUUAGGUAGCGCCUCGUGAAUUCAUCUCCGGGGGUAGAGCACUGUUUCGGCAAGGGGGUCAUCCCGACUUACCAACCCGAUGCAAACUGCGAAUACCGGAGAAUGUUAUCACGGGAGACACACGGCGGGUGCUAACGUCCGUCGUGAAGAGGGAAACAACCCAGACCGCCAGCUAAGGUCCCAAAGUCAUGGUUAAGUGGGAAACGAUGUGGGAAGGCCCAGACAGCCAGGAUGUUGGCUUAGAAGCAGCCAUCAUUUAAAGAAAGCGUAAUAGCUCACUGGUCGAGUCGGCCUGCGCGGAAGAUGUAACGGGGCUAAACCAUGCACCGAAGCUGCGGCAGCGACGCUGAUGCGUUGUUGGGUAGGGGAGCGUUCUGUAAGCCUGCGAAGGUGUGCUGUGAGGCAUGCUGGAGGUAUCAGAAGUGCGAAUGCUG